UAGAGAUCUAUUGAAAUAAGAAAAUCUACUAUGCUUUCAAAUUAUAUGGUAUAUUUGAUAGAUAUGGAUGAAAAAUAUUGAUGACCUUGAGAUGUUCUUACAAGCCAUUAAAGGUGAGAACUCAUUAUAAUGGUUGGAUGCUAUAAAAGAAAAAGCUGAGUUCUAUGGAUAAGAACCAUGUCUGAAAAUAAGUUGACAUAUCUGAAGGAUGCAAUCAAUAAGUUACAAAAAUAGAUCUAUAAAACCAAAAGAAUAUCUAAUGGAAAGAUCAAACAGUAUAAAGCCAGACUUGUAGCAAAGGGGUUUACACAAGAAGAAAGGCAUUAACCAUUCUUCUUUUUAGGAUUGUCAUGGUCUGAGCAGCUCAUUUUUGGCAUAGAGCUGUAUUGGUUAGAUAUAAGAAAAGCCUAGUGAUUCAGAGGAAGGGGUCUACAUGAAACAACUUGAGGAUUUUUAUGGUCAGUGGACAAGAGCAUAUGGUUUGCAAAUUAAAGAAAUAUAGUUAUGGACUUAAAUAGGCUUCCACACU
RNAcentral lists this long non-coding RNA (529 nucleotides) under Elaeis guineensis (African oil palm). Its description in RNAcentral is "long non-coding RNA (EGUI_LNC062468)". The record is from RNAcentral. Lineage: Eukaryota; Viridiplantae; Streptophyta; Magnoliopsida; Arecales; Arecaceae.